This is a small nuclear RNA of Leptonychotes weddellii (Weddell seal), 105 nucleotides long. NCBI's taxonomy places the organism in Eukaryota, Metazoa, Chordata, Mammalia, Carnivora, Phocidae. The record is from RefSeq and is a predicted model, not a curated record.
GUGCUCGCUUUGGCAGCACAUAUUACUAAAAUUGGAACGAUACAGAGAUGAGCAUGGCCCCAGUGCAAGGAUGACAUGCAAAUUCAUGAAGCGUUCCAUAUUUAA